UCAUAAGGUCAUGGAGGUGCAUUGACCUUAUUUGUAGUUUGUGUGAACACGUACAUCACACUGAACUUCGUGUUUUUAAGAUGAUGUGUUGAACAGUUAGUAUUAGUUGUAUUGCUCUCUGUCAGAUCCCGCAGGGAGGGUUCAGUUAGUUCAGCCUCUGGUUAGGGUCACACACACUCUUUCUCUUUGUGUUUAUUUGAAUAGCUUGCAUGUACACACACACCUCUUGCACUGAGUGCUUGUAAUUUGAAUUCGUAAUGUCAUUUAUAAGGCAAAGACACAGAAAUGAUGAGGAUAUGUGUUAAAUAUGUACCUAAUUUCCCAGGGGUCUCACUCUCUGUUGGACGUGUGGCGCAAUGACAUUAUAAUAAAUAUUCUGAAUGAUGCAACAGAGAAAAUAACCAUGUCUGCAACAUAUUGUCCUAGUGUGGCGACACCUACUCACUGAGAGAGGCUUCACUGGAGGGUAAAGCUGCUUCCUUGGAAACUUAAAGGCACCAGCUGUUGACCAGAUAAAUUAUUAUUGCGAAUGGGUGUGUUUUUUCCAGGGACAGGAGCAGUUCAUUGUCCCUGUGCCUUUUCUUCUCAUCCCGGAGGAACAGAGGGAGCUGAUGACAGCUGAUCCCAGUACUGUCUGCUGUCUUAAUUAAUUGCUUUUUUUCAUGACAACCCUUUGGGCAUUCAACCAGAUUUCAACGUGCAUGUGGCGCACUGUGCAUAUGUGUUUUUGUCUCAUGUAUGUCAGUGCGUGCAAGUGCAGACAGUGAGAGAGAGACGCCAAAUGACUUGGCCCCGCCCCCUGAAGAAUCACAUCCAACCAGCGCGUCAAGUGCAAACCAAACAAUGGCCACUCUGGACGCUCUAAGUGGCUCAUGUCCAGAUGAAGGACAUGAAGAGGUUUUGUGUGGAAUAGGGAGAUGUCUGGGGAUGGAGAGAGCCCAUGGGAUAUGUUCACAGAAGAGCCGGCUCUAUUAGACCCAGAACAAGAAAGUCAAUCUCUUUUUUAAAGGAAGUCUCUGAAUUGCCUGUAGCAACAAGCACCCAAGCACAGUUCUCAAAGCAGAUCUCUGGAGGGGUGUCAGUGGACGGCAUUACACUCAAUCAGAGACCGAAAGUCCGUCCCACUCGAGCGAAAAGUCUUUCAGAGACCCCAGUCAGGAGCAAGACAAAGAACGUGCUCUGAGUCGUCCCUCGUGGCUCAUCCGUAAUACAGCCCCACCCUCUGCCCUUAGCGUCUCCACCCACCGGGCCAAAGCCCUUGGCGUCUCCACCCACUAAAGCCAGGAAAGUGAUUGUAAAUGAUGUUAAUGAUAUUUUUCUUUGUCCGAGCUGGGCAGUGUGGCUCAUUUGCGUAAUAUAUGAUUAAUGCUUUCUGUGGGAUUAACCAAAUGAAAACUAUAUAUAGUUCUAAUCUAUUUGUGUAUUGCAUCAGAAAUGUAGCUACAUUGUCCCAGCUUCCCUGUUGCAGGUGCACUCAGAUGGAACGCCUUUUUCCUGUUUGUAUCAUCCACAGCCUCAGGUUGCCACAGCCCUUGGCCAUUUCCAGCGAGUAUGAUGUGUUCCCCACUGACACAUGCUGAUUAAAACAUGCUUGUAAUGUGAUGGCCAAUGAUCUAAGAACUGUUUUUUUUCUUGUACUUACA
Long non-coding RNA from Carassius gibelio (silver crucian carp), 1643 nucleotides. RefSeq lists it as uncharacterized. The transcript has 3 exons. The record is from RefSeq and is a predicted model, not a curated record. Lineage: Eukaryota; Metazoa; Chordata; Actinopteri; Cypriniformes; Cyprinidae.